CAAUGUUUCAAGUUUUUAUCUUCAAGAGGAAAAAUCAGGAGUUCUUGAGAUGGUUUGGUUAUACAAGCCACAGCGGCAAUACUAAAUUAUCUAAAAUAAUUUUUUGUCUGAACAAAACUUGCACAAGGCUAUUGUUAUGUAAUAUCUGAGAAUAUGCUAUCAACUUGAAAAGUGUUUCUGAAACUAGAUUUGAUACUUUUGCACAAGGAUAUCUUCCACUAACAUGCACAGUGUAUACAAUGAUAAAUUCAUUUUUGGCUUUGAAUAAUGAUAAUUUCUAG
Molecule: unclassified non-coding RNA, 281 nt
Filed under: Hevea brasiliensis (rubber tree)
Lineage: Eukaryota; Viridiplantae; Streptophyta; Magnoliopsida; Malpighiales; Euphorbiaceae
Source: RNAcentral